Podarcis lilfordi (Lilford's wall lizard) is the source of this 69-nucleotide non-coding RNA. NCBI's taxonomy places the organism in Eukaryota, Metazoa, Chordata, Lepidosauria, Squamata, Lacertidae. The record is from the annotation of a GenBank genome assembly.
GCUGUAGCCCAGUGGUAGAGCAUCUGCUCUGUGUGCAGAAGGUCCCAGGUUCAAUCCCCAACAUCUCCA